AUGGCGACCGGCGCACGGGUGAGUAACACGUAUCCAACCUGCCGAUGACUCGGGGAUAGCCUUUCGAAAGAAAGAUUAAUACCCGAUGGCAUAGUUCUUCCGCAUGGUAGAACUAUUAAAGAAUUUCGGUCAUCGAUGGGGAUGCGUUCCAUUAGGUUGUUGGCGGGGUAACGGCCCACCAAGCCUUCGAUGGAUAGGGGUUCUGAGAGGAAGGUCCCCACAUUGGAACUGAGACACGGUCCAAACUCCUACGGGAGGCAGCAUG
RNAcentral lists this ribosomal RNA (265 nucleotides) under uncultured bacterium. RNAcentral's name for it is "partial 16S ribosomal RNA". It matches the Rfam family "Bacterial small subunit ribosomal RNA", at positions 88 to 353 of the family's 1533-position model. The record is from RNAcentral.